UGGGGAAUAUUGGACAAUGGGCGCAAGCCUGAUCCAGCCAUGCCGCGUGAGUGAUGAAGGCCCUAGGGUUGUAAAGCUCUUUCACCGGUGAAGAUAAUGACGGUAACCGGAGAAGAAGCCCCGGCUAACUUCGUGCCAGCAGCCGCGGUAAUACGAAGGGGGCUAGCGUUGUUCGGAUUUACUGGGCGUAAAGCGCACGUAGGCGGUCUUUUAAGUCAGGGGUGAAAUCCCGGGGCUCAACCCCGGAACUGCCGUUGAUACUGGAAGUCUUGAGUAUGGUAGAGGUGAGUGGAAUUCCGAGUGUAGAGGUGAAGAUAGUAGAUAUUCGGAGGAACACCAGUGGCGAAGGCGGCUCACUGGACCAUUACUGACGCUGAGGUGCGAAAGCGUGGGGAGCAAACAGG
Molecule: ribosomal RNA, 404 nt
Filed under: Actinomycetes bacterium
Lineage: Bacteria; Bacillati; Actinomycetota; Actinomycetes
Description: Actinobacteria bacterium partial 16S ribosomal RNA
Rfam family: Bacterial small subunit ribosomal RNA
Source: RNAcentral